This 253-nucleotide ribosomal RNA is filed under the name uncultured bacterium. Its description in RNAcentral is "partial 16S ribosomal RNA". It matches the Rfam family "Bacterial small subunit ribosomal RNA", at positions 524 to 776 of the family's 1533-position model. The record is from RNAcentral.
UACGGAGGGUCCGAGCGUUAUUCGGAAUCACUGGGUUUAAAGGGUCCGUAGGCGGGACAAUAAGUCAGGGGUGAAAGGUUGCAGCUCAACUUCAGAAUGGCCUUUGAUACUGGUGGUCUUGAGUUAUGUUGCUGUGGUCGGAACACGUGGUGUAGCGGUGAAAUGCAUAGAUAUCGCGUAGAACGCCAAUUGCGAAGGCAGGUCACAGAGCAUAUACUGACGCUGAGGGACGAAAGCGUGGGGAGCGAACGGG